GUACGCUGGCGGCACGCCUAACACAUGCAAGUCGAACGAAGUAGCAAUACUUAGUGGCAGACGGGUGAGUAACAUGUAGGUAUCUGCCCUUUGGCCUGGAAUAACACGAGGAAACUUGUGCUAAUACCGGAUAAGUCUUUACGGAGAAAGCUUUAUGCACCAUUGGAUGAGCCUGCACUUGAUUAGUUUGUUGGUGGGGUAAUGGCCUACCAAGACUGUGAUCAAUAGCUGAUUUGAGAGGAUGAUCAGCCACAUUGGGACUGAGACACGGCCCAAACUCCUACGGGAGGCAGCAGUGGGGAAUCUUGCACAAUGGAGGAAACUCUGAUGCAGCGAUGCCGCGUGAGUGAAGAAGGCCUUUGGGUUGUAAAGCUCUUUCGUCGGGGAAGAAAAUGACUGUACCCGAAUAAGAAGGUCCGGCUAACU
RNAcentral lists this ribosomal RNA (426 nucleotides) under uncultured bacterium. RNAcentral's name for it is "bacterial SSU rRNA". It matches the Rfam family "Bacterial small subunit ribosomal RNA", at positions 31 to 502 of the family's 1533-position model. The record is from RNAcentral.